GUCGGCAUAGCUCAGGUAGUUAGAGCAUCUCACUCAUAAAGAGAAGGUCCCAGGUGCAACUCCUGGUGCCGACACCA
RNAcentral lists this transfer RNA (77 nucleotides) under bacterium. RNAcentral's name for it is "tRNA-Met". It matches the Rfam family "tRNA". From Rfam's summary of the family: Transfer RNA (tRNA) molecules are approximately 80 nucleotides in length. Their secondary structure includes four short double-helical elements and three loops (D, anti-codon, and T loops). The record is from RNAcentral.